ACAGCCACAUCAUUUUGAAACAUCAGUUCCAGUACGAUUACUGAAAUUAAGCAAUACUGAGCCUGGUCAGUACCUAGAUGGGUCACCACUUGGGAAUACCAGGUGCUGUAA
Acanthosepion pharaonis is the source of this 111-nucleotide non-coding RNA. NCBI's taxonomy places the organism in Eukaryota, Metazoa, Mollusca, Cephalopoda, Sepiida, Sepiidae. The record is from the annotation of a GenBank genome assembly.